RNAcentral lists this ribosomal RNA (492 nucleotides) under uncultured bacterium. RNAcentral describes it as "partial 16S ribosomal RNA". It matches the Rfam family "Bacterial small subunit ribosomal RNA", at positions 29 to 507 of the family's 1533-position model. The record is from RNAcentral.
AGUGAACGCUGGCGGUAGGCCUAACACAUGCAAGUCGAACGGCAGCACAGUAAGAGCUUGCUCUUACGGGUGGCGAGUGGCGGACGGGUGAGGAAUACAUCGGAAUCUACUUUUUCGUGGGGGAUAACGUAGGGAAACUUACGCUAAUACCGCAUACGACCUACGGGUGAAAGCAGGGGAUCUUCGGACCUUGCGCGAUUGAAUGAGCCGAUGUCGGAUUAGGUAGUUGGCGGGGUAAAGGCCUACCAAGGCGACGAUCCGUAGCUGGUCUGAGAGGAUGAUCAGCCACACUGGAACUGAGACACGGUCCAGACUCCUACGGGAGGCAGCAGUGGGGAAUAUUGGACAAUGGGCGCAAGCCUGAUCCAGCCAUACCGCGUGGGUGAAGAAGGCCUUCGGGUUGUAAAGCCCUUUUGUUGGGAAAGAAAAGCAGCAGGUUAAUACCCCGCGGUUCUGACGGUACCCAAAGAAUAAGCACCGGCUAACUUCGUG